UACAGAGGUCCCAAGCGUUGUUCGGAAUCACUGGGCGUAAAGCGCACGUAGGCGGCUUUCUAAGUCAGGGGUGAAAUCCUGGAGCUCAACUCCAGAACUGCCUUUGAUACUGGGAAGCUCGAGUCCGGAAGAGGUGAGUGGAACUGCGAGUGUAGAGGUGAAAUUCGUAGAUAUUCGCAAGAACACCAGUGGCGAAGGCGGCUCACUGGUCCGGUACUGACGCUGAGGUGCGAAAGCGUGGGGAGCAAACAGG
This 253-nucleotide ribosomal RNA is filed under the name uncultured bacterium. RNAcentral's name for it is "partial 16S ribosomal RNA". It matches the Rfam family "Bacterial small subunit ribosomal RNA", at positions 524 to 776 of the family's 1533-position model. The record is from RNAcentral.